UUUUUAAUGAAAUAAUAUUAAAUAAUCCCUGCUCAGUGAAUAUUCAACAGCUGCAGAAUUUUAACUGUACUAAGGUAGCAAAAUAAUUAGCCUUUUCAUUGAAGGCCAGAAUAAACGGGUUUACGGGAACUCUAUGUCUCUUUACCUUUUCUCGAAUUUACUCUUAUAGUAAAAAAUUCUAUACCUUUAAAGAAAGACGACAAGACCCUAUCGAACUUAACUUCAGUUUUACUGGGGCGGUAUAUAGAAAUAAAACUUCUUUUCUUUCUUUACUAUAAAAAUAAACAAGUUACCGUAGGGAUAACAGCAUAAUUUUAUUUUAGAGACCAAAUCUUCAAUAAAGAUUAUGACCUCGAUGUUGAAUAGAAUCCGCUUGGGUGAAAAAGCUCUCCUAGUAAGUCUGUUCGACUUUUAAAAUUCUACA
RNAcentral lists this ribosomal RNA (424 nucleotides) under Aliatypus isolatus. Its description in RNAcentral is "partial 16S ribosomal RNA". It matches the Rfam family "Bacterial large subunit ribosomal RNA", at positions 1831 to 2600 of the family's 2925-position model. The record is from RNAcentral. Lineage: Eukaryota; Metazoa; Arthropoda; Arachnida; Araneae; Antrodiaetidae.